Molecule: ribosomal RNA, 464 nt
Filed under: uncultured bacterium
Lineage: Bacteria
Description: partial 16S ribosomal RNA
Rfam family: Bacterial small subunit ribosomal RNA
Source: RNAcentral
CUACGGGCGGCUCCAGUGAGGAAUUUUGCGCAAUAGGGGAAACCCUGACGCAGCAACGCCGCGUGAGUGAAGAAGGCCCUCGGGUCGUAAAGCUCUGUCAAGUGGGAAAAAAGCUUGCUGGUAAAUAGCCAGCAAGACUGAUGGUACCAUUGAAGGAAGCACCGGCUAACUCCGUGCCAGCAGCCGCGGUAAUACGGAGGGUGCAAGCGUUGUUCGGAAUUACUGGGCGUAAAGGGCGUGUAGGCGGUGUGGUAAGUCAGAUGUGAAAGCCCUGGGCUUAACCCAGGAAGUGCAUUUGAAACUGCCAUGCUUGAGUAUGGGAGAGGAGAGUGGAAUUCCCAGUGUAGAGGUGAAAUUCGUAGAUAUUGGGAGGAACACCCGUGGCGAAGGCGACUCUCUGGACCAAUACUGACGCUGAGGCGCGAAAGCGUGGGGAGCAAACAGGAUUAGAUACCCUGGUAGUC